Molecule: long non-coding RNA, 701 nt
Organism: Oncorhynchus tshawytscha (Chinook salmon)
Lineage: Eukaryota; Metazoa; Chordata; Actinopteri; Salmoniformes; Salmonidae
Exons: 2
Source: RefSeq, a predicted model, not a curated record
GAUGGAAGGCCUGUAUGACAAUAACUGGGGACAUGGGCUGGAAACCCUGUGAGGUGAGAUGGAAGGCCUGUAUGACAAUAACUGGGGACAUGGGCUGGAAACCCUGUGAGGUGAGAUGGAAGGCCUGUAUGACAAUAACAGGGGACAUGGGCUGGAAACCCUGUGAGGUGAGAUGGAAGGCCUGUAUGACAAUAACAGGGGACAUGGGCUGGAAACCCUGUGAGGUGAGAUGGAAGGCCUGUAUGACAAUAACAGGGGACAUGGGCUGGAAACCCUGUGAGGUGAGAUGGAAGGCCUGUAUGACAAUAACAGGGGACAUGGGCUGGAAACCCUGUGAGGUGAGAUGGAAGGCCUGUAUGACAAUAACAGGGGACAUGGGCUGGAAACCCUGUGAGGUGAGAUGGAAGGCCUGUAUGACAAUAACUGGGGACAUGGGCUGGAAACCCUGUGAGGUGAGAUGGAAGGCCUGUAUGACAAUAACUGGGGACAUGGGCUGGAAACCCUGUGAGGUGAGAUGGAAGGCCUGUAUGACAAUAACUGGGGACAUGGGCUGGAAACCCUGUGAGGUGAGAUGGAAGGCCUGUAUGACAAUAACAGGGGACAUGGGCUGGAAACCCUGUGAGGUGAGAUGGAAGGCCUGUAUGACAAUAACUGGGGACAUGGGCUGGAAACCCUGUGAGGUGAGAUGGAAGGCGUGUAUG